UGAACGCUGGCGGCGGCUUAACACAUGCAAGUCGAGCGGUAACAUUUCUAGCUUGCUAGAAGAUGACGAGCGGCGGACGGGUGAGUAACGCGUAGAAAUCUGCCAAGUAGUGGGGGACAACCAGUGGAAACGCUGGCUAAUACCGCAUACGCCCUACGGGGGAAAGGAGGGGAUCUUAGGACCUUUCGCUAUUUGAUGAGUCUGCGUGAGAUUAGCUAGUUGGUGGGGUAAAGGCCUACCAAGGCGACGAUCUCUAGCUGGUCUGAGAGGAUGAUCAGCCACACUGGGACUGAGACACGGCCCAGACUCCUACGGGAGGCAGCAGUGGGGAAUAUUGCACAAUGGGGGGAACCCUGAUGCAGCCAUGCCGCGUGUGUGAAGAAGGCCUUCGGGUUGUAAAGCACUUUCAGCAGUGAGGAAAGGUUAGUAGUUAAUACCUGCUAGCUGUGACGUUAACUGCAGAAGAAGCACCGGCUAACUCCGUGCCAGCAGCCGCGGUAAUACGGAGGGUGC
RNAcentral lists this ribosomal RNA (513 nucleotides) under uncultured bacterium. RNAcentral describes it as "bacterial SSU rRNA". It matches the Rfam family "Bacterial small subunit ribosomal RNA", at positions 30 to 535 of the family's 1533-position model. The record is from RNAcentral.